RNAcentral lists this ribosomal RNA (354 nucleotides) under Triticum aestivum (bread wheat). Its description in RNAcentral is "partial small subunit ribosomal RNA". The record is from RNAcentral. Lineage: Eukaryota; Viridiplantae; Streptophyta; Magnoliopsida; Poales; Poaceae.
AUGUUUACUGUGGGCUUAGACGUUGAUACGCGUGCCUACUUCACCGCAGCUACCAUGAUCAUAGCUGUGCCCACAGGAAUCAAAAUCUUUAGUUGGAUCGCUACCAUGUGGGGAGGUUCGAUACAAUACAAAACACCCAUGUUAUUUGCUGUAGGGUUCAUCUUUUUGUUCACCAUAGGAGGGCUCACUGGAAUAGUUCUAGCAAACUCUGGGCUAGACAUUGCUCUACAUGAUACUUAUUAUGUGGUUGCACAUUUCCAUUAUGUACUUUCUAUGGGAGCCGUUUUUGCUUUAUUGCUGGAUUUUACUAUUAGGUGGGUAAAAUCUUUGGUCGGACAUAUCCUGAAACUUUAG